This 745-nucleotide ribosomal RNA is filed under the name uncultured bacterium. Its description in RNAcentral is "bacterial SSU rRNA". It matches the Rfam family "Bacterial small subunit ribosomal RNA", at positions 60 to 795 of the family's 1533-position model. The record is from RNAcentral.
AGUCGAGGGGCAUCGGGAAGAAAGCUUGCUUUCUUUGCCGGCGACCGGCGCACGGGUGAGUAACACGUAUCCAACCUGCCCUUUACUCGGGGAUAGCCUUUCGAAAGAAAGAUUAAUACCCGAUGGGAUAAUUAUUCCGCAUGGUUUGAUUAUUAAAGGAUUCCGGUAAAGGAUGGGGAUGCGUUCCAUUAGGUUGUUGGUGAGGUAACGGCUCACCAAGCCUUCGAUGGAUAGGGGUUCUGAGAGGAAGGUCCCCCACAUUGGAACUGAGACACGGUCCAAACUCCUACGGGAGGCAGCAGUGAGGAAUAUUGGUCAAUGGGCGCUAACCUGAACCAGCCAAGUAGCGUGAAGGAUGAAGGCUCUAUGGGUCGUAAACUUCUUUUAUAUAAGAAUAAAGUGCAGUAUGUAUACUGUUUUGUAUGUAUUAUAUGAAUAAGGAUCGGCUAACUCCGUGCCAGCAGCCGCGGUAAUACGGAGGAUCCGAGCGUUAUCCGGAUUUAUUGGGUUUAAAGGGAGCGUAGGUGGACUGGUAAGUCAGUUGUGAAAGUUUGCGGCUCAACCGUAAAAUUGCAGUUGAUACUGUCAGUCUUGAGUACAGUAGAGGUGGGCGGAAUUCGUGGUGUAGCGGUGAAAUGCUUAGAUAUCACGAAGAACUCCGAUUGCGAAGGCAGCUCACUGGACUGCAACUGACACUGAUGCUCGAAAGUGUGGGUAUCAAACAGGAUUAGAUACCCUGGUAGUC